Molecule: ribosomal RNA, 488 nt
Filed under: uncultured bacterium
Lineage: Bacteria
Description: bacterial SSU rRNA
Rfam family: Bacterial small subunit ribosomal RNA
Source: RNAcentral
AUUGAACGCUGGCGGCAUGCUUUACACAUGCAAGUCGAACGGCAGCGACGGGUGCUUGCACCGUGGUGGCGAGUGGCGGACGGUGAGUAAUGCAUCGGAACGUGUACCUAAAGGUGGGGGAUAACGCAUCGAAAGAUGUGCUAAUACCGCAUAUUCUCUGAGGAGAAAGUAGGGGAUCGAAAGACCUUAUGCUUUUGGAGCGGCCGAUGUCUGAUUAGCUAGUUGGUAAGGUAAUGGCUUACCGAGGCGACGAUCAGUAGUUGGUCUGAGAGGACGACCAGCCACACUGGGACUGAGACACGGCCCAGACUCCUACGGGAGGCAGCAGUGGGGAAUUUUGGACAAUGGGCGCAAGCCUGAUCCAGCAAUGCCGCGUGAGUGAAGAAGGCCUUCGGGUUGCAAAGCUCUUUCAGUUGAAAAGAAAAAGCCGUGACUAAUAAUCAUGGUUCAUGACGGUAUCAACAGAAGAAGCACCGGCUAACUACGUG